UUUCCGUAGGUGAACCUGCGGAAGGAUCAUUAUCGUAUAACCGAGGUGCGAGGGCUGUCGCUGACCCGAAAGGUCGUGCACGCCCGAGUGCCCUCACACACAUCCAUCUCACCCCUAUGUGCACCACCGCGCGGGUCCCCCUUUGGCUUGUUCGGAGGGGGGCUUACGUUUUCACACAAACUUUGUAUGCAGUGUAGAAUGUAUUUUUUGUUUUUGCGAUCACGCAAUCAAUACAACUUUCAACAACGGAUCUCUUGGCUCUC
Molecule: unclassified non-coding RNA, 263 nt
Filed under: plant metagenome
Description: partial contains small subunit ribosomal RNA, internal transcribed spacer 1, and 5.8S ribosomal RNA
Source: RNAcentral